Molecule: ribosomal RNA, 247 nt
Filed under: uncultured bacterium
Lineage: Bacteria
Description: partial 16S ribosomal RNA
Rfam family: Bacterial small subunit ribosomal RNA
Source: RNAcentral
UGAGUUGCGAACGGGUGAGUAACGCGUAGGUAACCUGCCUGGUAGCGGGGGAUAACUAUUGGAAACGAUAGCUAAUACCGCAUAAUAGUAGAUGUUGCAUGACAUUUGCUUAAAAGGUGCAAUUGCAUCACUACCAGAUGGACCUGCGUUGUAUUAGCUAGUUGGUGAGGUAACGGCUCACCAAGGCGACGAUACAUAGCCGACCUGAGAGGGUGAUCGGCCACACUGGGACUGAGACACGGCCCAG